This 276-nucleotide long non-coding RNA is filed under the name Solanum tuberosum (potato). RNAcentral's name for it is "long non-coding RNA (STUB_LNC007307)". Lineage: Eukaryota; Viridiplantae; Streptophyta; Magnoliopsida; Solanales; Solanaceae. The record is from RNAcentral.
UUACAAACUGCCUUAUCCAUAUUAAGGUAAAUUCUAUAACUGUUGAUGUGAGCAUUAUCAGCAAAAGGUUCAAGAAUCACAAUCAUGGCUAGAUUAGGCAUUUUCUUGAGAUUUUGGAGUCUUUCCAAGGAUCCUUGGGUGUUGAUGCUUCUAGCAUUCCAGCAUAUGGUUUUAAACAUUAAAAACCUUUACUUUUAGACCUAGUGAUGGGUCUGCUAGAACUAGCAGAUGUAGUAUGUGUUGCCUGUUUGGUCUGAUGCUGAGUCUGUUUCCCUC